ACACAUUAUACUGAUUGUAGGCUCAACAAGAAGGCACUGGCAAUCACAGCUCCCAAGUGAAUGAAUCCAGAUGAUAUGUGAUGGGGUGAGGCCAGAAACAAAGGCACUUCUGACUGCCACCUCUAAGAAGAAGCCCAAGGCAGGGAAGGGAGAUACAGGAAAAGAGGAUGAAAGCAGCAAGGUUGACUCAGUCCAGCCUGUUCAUAUCACUCUUCUCUUUAAAAGAUACGUCUUUGAUGCACAGAAGAAAAUGAUUCAGUCUUGAGAAACAUUCGAGGUGUCCUUUAAAGGCUGAACACCAAAAAGCAUUUCCCAUGGACUCUAGACCAUUCUUAUUGGCCUUACAGAUGCUUUAGAUAUUUCUGGCUUUGCUGUUCCAAUCUGCUGUGCUGCAGGUAGAUGGCACCUGUUGAAACUAUUAAUUCACAGCUAAUGCAAAUACUUCUGUAUCAUUUGUAUUUUAUAUGAUGCUUUGUGAUUGUCUGUAGAUUGAACCCAUAAGUGAAAUUUCACCACCCUGACUUGAUGGAAAGGCAAAAUGUAAACACAGUGCAUGUUGAAACUAAAUUGGAUGUUUAAAUUCUUUUAUGUUUAAUAAUCCAAAUGCGCUGUUUGUAAGGCAGGGAUUAUUUUGUAAAUGAGGUUUGUAUCUUGAGUACCAUUUAUAACUGGCUUCAGUGUCAGAACAUCCUCAGGGAUGUACAUAAUUUCAUGGUAUACGUUGUUAACCUUUUCUGUUUAAUGCUUUGGUAUAAUACUUCUACACAAGCUUUCUGAAUCUGCUGGUUAAUGUUUUCCUAGGAAAGCUGAGAAAAUAAGCAACUCUGAGCUACUCUUAAGAAGUUUUGCUGAAUGUGAAUGCUGCUCAUGUCCCCAAAAGCAACUUAAUUGUGAUUACCAAAGUGUCAAAUUGCGAGAAUAAAUAUUUUAAGUGGCUUGA
Molecule: non-coding RNA, 940 nt
Organism: Podarcis muralis (Common wall lizard)
Lineage: Eukaryota; Metazoa; Chordata; Lepidosauria; Squamata; Lacertidae
Source: RefSeq, a predicted model, not a curated record